AAUUGUAUCUGUGUAAUGUUAAAACAAACGAAAUAAAAUAGAAGGAAAAACUUUCUGAGUUUCAAAAACAACAGACUAGUACUCUAAAGAACUCUUUAAAACAAUUAACUGUUAGGAUUGCAGUUAUGAUUGGAUAUUAUUUAAUUCUGUUUCUGAUGUGGGGUUCCUCCACUGUGUUCUGUGUGCUAUUAAUAUUUACCAUUGCAGAAGCUUCAUUCAGUGUUGAAAAUGAAUGCUUAGUGGAUCUGUGCCUCUUAUGCAUAUGUUACAAAUUAUCUGGAGUUCCUAAUCAAUGCAGAGUUCCCCUCCCCUCCGAUUGUUCUAAAUAAUUGAAAGAUGUCUGCUGUGGAAAAAGGCAUGUAUUUAAAUCUGUAUGAUUCUCAACCAUCUUUAGUUGGGAAAGGUCCUUGAAAGCCAAUGGAAAUACUUUUUUUUUUUCUUGGCACUAAUCAAGUGAGUGUUACCUUUUCACUUAGUAGGAUGUGUUGUUACGCUAGUAAAAUAGAAACCUGUGUUUAUUCUCAGGUAUUUUAGAAACAACAGCCAUCAUUUUAUUUUAUGUGUGUGUUCUUGGCUGUAUUCAUAAAUUAUAUAUUUUGGGCUAUCAAAUAUUACUUCAUUCAAUAUAAAUAACAAUAGUAGAAGUUGUUUACUUAGAUAUGCUUUCUAGUUGCAUUUUCUCAGCCUAUGUAAGACUACUUUGUUGUAAUAGCCUUUGAAAUUUACAGUACUGUCUCUCUACUAUCUUCAGAUUACUUGAUUCAAAUAAACCAAUUAUGUUUGUAAUUGAUAUUAAUAAAACCAGAAUAAAAGUUCAUAUCUACCC
RNAcentral lists this long non-coding RNA (826 nucleotides) under Homo sapiens (human). RNAcentral describes it as "novel transcript, sense intronic to MSANTD2 (ENSG00000279342.2)". The record is from RNAcentral. Lineage: Eukaryota; Metazoa; Chordata; Mammalia; Primates; Hominidae.